CCUACGGGAGGCAGCAGUGGGGGAUAUUGCACAAUGGGGGGAACCCUGAUGCAGCGACGCCGCGUGGGUGAAGGAGCGUUUCGGCGCGUAAAGCCCUAUCGGCAGGGAAGAAGAUGACGGUACCUGGCCAAGAAGCCCCGGCUAACGACGUGCCAGCAGCCGCGGUAAGACGGAGGGGGCAAGCGUUAGCCGGAUUUACUGGGUGUCAAGGGGGCGCAGACGGCAAUGCAAGCCAGGAGUGAACGCCCGGGGCCCACCCCCGGGACUGCUCUUGGAACUGCAUGGCUGGAGUACAGGAGGGGCAGGCGGAAUUCCUAGUGUAGCGGUGCACUUCGUAGAUCUUAGGAGGAACCCCGGUGGCGAAGGCGGCCUGCUGGACUGUGCCUGCCGUUGCGGCCCGCAGGCGUGGUGAGCAAACAGGAUUCGAUACCCUGGUAGUC
RNAcentral lists this ribosomal RNA (440 nucleotides) under uncultured bacterium. Its description in RNAcentral is "partial 16S ribosomal RNA". It matches the Rfam family "Bacterial small subunit ribosomal RNA", at positions 338 to 795 of the family's 1533-position model. The record is from RNAcentral.